UUCAUUAUUAGUCCCUGCCUAUAUAGGCAGAGACUAAUGUUUUCGCCUCGCCAAAUUUCUAUUAAUCCUUGCUCGCAAAGCACGCUAGCAAAUAAAUAAAUUGCUUUUACUAUGGUCUGUAGCGUUUAGAUUUAAAAAAUAGAAUUUUAGAUAUUUUUUUUCUUUUUGUGAUUGGUCCUUCUUAUUUUUUCCAGUGGUUUUUAUAUUUUUCGAUUAAAAAUUAAGAGAGAAAAUCCCGUGACCAAUGAAAAAUGAGCAGGAAAAAUUUAAAAAUAUUCCUAAUGUUUCGAGGGUUUUGGUGGGUAUGUGGCAGAAUGGGAAUAGUUCACGUGUCUAUGUGUGACGUUGGGAAUUUAGGACAUUGGCAGUUAGCAUCCUCUAGAAGGUGCCCGAAACUACAACCUUCUUACACUCUGCUUCAGAGACCUCAUCUCCUGCAAGCGACCGCUAAUUCAACCAGGCUUAUUGCUGCUGCUCACUCAGGACUUUCCACCGCAUAUCUUACAAUGCAAGAUUUUUUACAACUCCUCAGAAGGGGUAGGGGUUAUAGUAAUAAUAAUAAUAGUCGUGGUUUAUAGGUUUCAUCUGUUGAGGGUUCUGCUACCAUGCCAAUCUCCUUUGUUGAGCAUGUUCUUCUAGGCGGUAUUGGUACUUACAGCAUAAGCCACAUUUCGACAUAUGGUCAGAGCAAUGGCAAAUCUGAAGCCGGUCCUCCUCUACCUCCUCCCAUGGUGCAUGUCACUGUAAUGGAAGCCAAACCAAAAAUCGCAGCCAAGGUUAUGUCUGCUAUGAACAAUUAUGGUGUAGGAAGCGGACCGACAUUCGCAUUGUGGAAAGAACGUGUUUGUGUUCCAGAAGGAAAUUGAACCACUGGCCCCCAUGCGAAAAGCGAUAUUUUGCGUAUUGGUUAGCAACUAGAUCAAAAACAGACAUGUUGUUCAUUGCUAAGAAUGCAUUCAUUCUCAACUCGAUUGAUGUCAAUCAACAGCCAAUUCUUUCCUCAAGAAAAGGUAACAACCACAAACAGGGCAAGGUCUUGUUAAGAAGAUGAAGUCCAUGAAACCUAUUUCGAAAGAUGAUGAAGUCAAUGAAACCCAUUUCGAAAGAUGAUGAAGAUGAAGAUGAUGAAUAUGUGGAUCAGAAUCGAGAGAAUUGGAUGAAAAUUUUGUCUCACAAAGGUAUCUGAAACAAGGAAAAAUAUGCUUUCCUUUUGGUUUCAUUUCUCGCAGGGAUUCUUUCCAUGUACUUUUAAGUUUAAGGAAAGCUUUUUAAUGUUAUAAGUUGAAAUAAUUUGCAACCUGAAAUUGGUUACAUUAUUCUUCAGGGGCAAUUUAAGAAGUUGGUCUAUCUGAUUAA
Cryptomeria japonica (Japanese cedar) is the source of this 1356-nucleotide long non-coding RNA. RefSeq lists it as uncharacterized. The record is from RefSeq and is a predicted model, not a curated record. NCBI's taxonomy places the organism in Eukaryota, Viridiplantae, Streptophyta, Pinopsida, Cupressales, Cupressaceae. The transcript has 4 exons.